This 460-nucleotide ribosomal RNA is filed under the name uncultured bacterium. RNAcentral's name for it is "partial 16S ribosomal RNA". It matches the Rfam family "Bacterial small subunit ribosomal RNA", at positions 338 to 795 of the family's 1533-position model. The record is from RNAcentral.
CCUACGGGAGGCAGCAGUGAGGAAUAUUGGUCAAUGGGCGCGAGCCUGAACCAGCCAAGUAGCGUGAAGGAUGACUGCCCUACGGGUUGUAAACUUCUUUUAUAAAGGAAUAAAGUGAGGCACGUGUGCCUUUUUGUAUGUACUUUAUGAAUAAGGAUCGGCUAACUCCGUCCCAGCAGCCGCGGUAAUACGGAGGAUCCGAGCGUUCUCCGGAUUUAUUGGGUUUAAGGGGAGCGUAGAUGGGUUGUUAAGUCAGUUGUGAAAGUUUGCGGCUCAACCGUAAAAGUGCAAUUGAUACUGGCAUUCUUGAGUACAGUUGAGGUAGGCGGAAUGCGUGGUGUAGCGGUGAAAUGCUUAGAUAUCACGAAGAACUCCGAUUGCGAAGGCAGCUUACUAAACUGCCACUGACAUUGAUGCUCGAAAGUGUGGGUAUCAAACAGGAGUAGAUACCCCGGUAGUC